GACAGAGGAUGCAAGCGUUAUCCGGAAUGAUUGGGCGUAAAGUGUCUGUAGGUGGCUUUUCAAGUCCUACGUGAAAUCCCAGGGCUCAACCCUGGACAGGCGGUGGAAACUACCAAACUGGAGUACGGUAGGGGCAGAGGGAAUUUCCGGUGGAGCGGUUAAAUGCGUAGAGAUCGGAAAGAACACCAACGGCGAAAGCGAUCUGCUGGACCGAUCCUGACACUCAGACACGAAAGCUAGGGGAGCGAAUGGG
This 253-nucleotide ribosomal RNA is filed under the name uncultured bacterium. RNAcentral describes it as "partial 16S ribosomal RNA". It matches the Rfam family "Bacterial small subunit ribosomal RNA", at positions 524 to 776 of the family's 1533-position model. The record is from RNAcentral.